UAGGGAAUCUUUGGCAAUGGACGAAAGUCUGACCGAGCAACGCCGCGUGAGUGAAGAAGGUUUUCGGAUCGUAAAACUCUGUUGUUAUAGAAGAACAAAGACGUUAGUAAUUGAACGUCCCCUGACGGUAUCUAACCAGAAAGCCACGGCUAACUACGUGCCAGCAGCCGCGGUAAUACGUAGGUGGCAAGCGUUGUCCGGAUUUAUUGGGCGUAAAGCGAGCGCCGGCGGUUUAUUAAGUCUGAUGUGAAAGCCCCCGGCUCAACCGGGGGGGGUCAUUGGAAACUGGGGGACUUGAGGGCAGAAGAGGGGAGUGGAAUUCCAUGUGUGGCGGUGAAAUGCGUAGAUAUAUGGAGGAAGACCAGUGACGAAGGCGGCUCUCUGGUCUGUAACUGACGCUGAGGCUCGAGGGCGUGGGGAGCAAACAGG
Molecule: ribosomal RNA, 429 nt
Filed under: Gemmatimonadota bacterium
Lineage: Bacteria; Pseudomonadati; Gemmatimonadota
Description: Gemmatimonadetes bacterium partial 16S ribosomal RNA
Rfam family: Bacterial small subunit ribosomal RNA
Source: RNAcentral